This 403-nucleotide ribosomal RNA is filed under the name uncultured bacterium. RNAcentral's name for it is "bacterial SSU rRNA". It matches the Rfam family "Bacterial small subunit ribosomal RNA", at positions 355 to 775 of the family's 1533-position model. The record is from RNAcentral.
UUAGGAAUUUUGGGCAAUGGGCGGAAGCCUGACCCAGCAACGCCGCGUGGGUGAUGAAGGCCCUCGGGUCGUAAAGCCCUUUUCCCGGGGACGAUGGUGACGGUACCCGGGGAAUCAGCCCCGGCUAACUACGUGCCAGCAGCCGCGGUAAUACGUAGGGGGCGAGCGUUGUCCGGAUUCAUUGGGCGUAAAGGGCUCGCAGGUGGCCCGCCGCGUCGUGCGUGAAAGGCCCCGGCUCAACCGGGGGGUGUCGUGCGAUACGGGCGGGCUGGAGGCCAGUAGGGGGAUGCGGAAUUCCGGGUGUAGUGGUGGAAUGCGUAGAGAUCCGGAGGAACACCGGCGGCGAAGGCGGCAUCCUGGACUGGUCCUGACACUCAGGAGCGAAAGCGUGGGGAGCGAUCCG